AUCAGUCACAAAUUAUCAGUUAUGAAUUAACAAUUUUUUAGGUCACGUAUUAUUUAUUAGUCACAAAUUAUCUUUCUAUUGGUCCUAUAUUAUUUAUUGGUAUUAAUCAAUUUAAUGGUCACAUUCAAUCAAAUAAUUUGUGACCACCAACAACACUUGUUGCCACCACCAGCUCACCACCAACAAAUCAGAUCCAAAAUGCCAUCACCUCAUCACCGUAUCGCCUCCACCAUCAUUGUAUUCAUCACCAACCGUUUUCAACCACCACCACAAUCAACACUCUUUCAUGGACCUAUCAACAAGAAACCAUCACUACACCAACAUGUCACCUGCAUUGUCAGAUCCACUACCAUUACACUACCCAUACCACCAUCACCAUCGUAUCAACCAUAUCACCUUCUGAACUAAACCAACACUACCACCUCCCGAAACCAUCACUAGCAACAAGAUCCACCACCAUCCCCACCAACAAAACCACAACUACUACCGGAUCCAACAUAACCUACACCACCAACACAGCCCCACCCACCAAUUGAAAACACACCCAAAAAAAACUAUAGCAAAUCAUGAUGCUACAGAUUCUAGCUACGGUACGCAGUAAGUCUCAAUCACGGCUGAACCAGUGGGGAUCUCACCUACAAUGGCACGACGGCUCUCAAAUGGUUUCAUAUAGGAAACAUCACCACCCAUAGCCGCUCUUCUCUUGCGUCAUCAUACAGUAGUUGUGCGCCAAUCGUCUCGUCACUCUGUGGGCGGCAGUCCUCGUAGUCUUUUCGAUCGCGCUCAUCACCGCCGCUGUGUAGAGACAGAGAGAGAUGAGAUUGGGAGAGAGAAAGGGGUUGGCUAUGGUUGUCUGGACAGAA
This 863-nucleotide long non-coding RNA is filed under the name Olea europaea subsp. europaea. The record is from RNAcentral. Lineage: Eukaryota; Viridiplantae; Streptophyta; Magnoliopsida; Lamiales; Oleaceae.